GAUGAAGAACGUAGCGAAAUGCGAUAAGUAAUGCGAAUUGCAGAAUUUCCGUGAGUCAUCGAAUCUUUGAACGCACAUUGCGCCCACUGGUAUUCCGGGGGGCAUGCCUGUUCGAGCGUCAUUAUAACCCCUCAAGCUCAGCUUGGUGUUGGGGCCUGCCGACUGGCAGCCCUUAAAAUCAGUGGCGGCGCCAUCUGGCUCUAAGCGUAGUAAUUUCUCUCGCUAUAGAGUCCCGGUGGAUGCUUGCCAGCAACCCCCAACUUUCUAUGGUUGACCUCGGAUCAGGUAGGGAUACCCGCUGAACUUAAGCAUAUCAAUAAGCGGAGGA
Molecule: unclassified non-coding RNA, 328 nt
Filed under: soil metagenome
Description: partial contains 5.8S ribosomal RNA, internal transcribed spacer 2, and large subunit ribosomal RNA
Rfam family: 5.8S ribosomal RNA (bases 1-121)
Source: RNAcentral